GGGAGUGUAGCUCAGUGGUAGAGUGCUAGCCAGGCAUGCAUGAGGCCUUGGGUUUGAUCCCCAGCACCACUC
RNAcentral lists this transfer RNA (72 nucleotides) under Urocitellus parryii (Arctic ground squirrel). RNAcentral's name for it is "Spermophilus parryii (Arctic ground squirrel) tRNA". It matches the Rfam family "tRNA". From Rfam's summary of the family: Transfer RNA (tRNA) molecules are approximately 80 nucleotides in length. Their secondary structure includes four short double-helical elements and three loops (D, anti-codon, and T loops). The record is from Rfam by way of RNAcentral. Lineage: Eukaryota; Metazoa; Chordata; Mammalia; Rodentia; Sciuridae. RNAcentral also lists the same sequence under 1 other name.